AGCAGCCGCGGUAAUUCCAGCUCUAAUAGCGUAUAUUAAAGUUGUUGCAGUUAAAAAGUUCGUAGUUGAAUUUCGGGAUCAGUUCGCUGGUCGUGCCUCUGGUAUGUACUGGUGUUACUGGUUCCUCCCUUCUGACGAACCGUCAUGUCAUUUAUUUGGUGUGGCAGGGAAUCAGGACUGUUACUUUGAAAAAAUUAGAGUGUUUAAAGCAGGCUCGCGCUUGAAUACAUUAGCAUGGAAUAAUGAAAUAGGACGUUCGAUCCUAUUUUGUUGGUUUCUAGGGUUGACGUAAUGAUUAAUAGGGAUAGUUGGGGGCAUUAGUAUUCAAUUGUCAGAGGUGAAAUUCUUGGAUUUAUUGAAGACUAACUACUGCGAAAGCAUUUGCCAAGGAUGUUUUCAUUAAUCAAGAACGAAAGUUAGGGGAUCGAAGACGAUCAGAUACCGUCGUAGUCUUAACCAUAAACUAUGCCGACUAGGGAUCGGAUGAUGUUAUUUUUAAUGACUCAUUCGGCGCCUUAAC
This 520-nucleotide ribosomal RNA is filed under the name uncultured Glomus. RNAcentral describes it as "SSU rRNA". It matches the Rfam family "Eukaryotic small subunit ribosomal RNA", at positions 569 to 1092 of the family's 1831-position model. Lineage: Eukaryota; Fungi; Glomeromycota; Glomeromycetes; Glomerales; Glomeraceae. The record is from RNAcentral.